AUUGAAAGAUGUUCGUCAAGUAAAAUACGAGGAAAUUGUCUCUAACCGGUAUAUAUAAUCCCUUCAACUGUUUAGAUGAGAUAAAAUGUUCUACUUCAUUGAGAUUCGUGACCCACGUAGUGACCUACGACCCACAGCCCGAGGAUACGUUGCUUGAGCGUUCACGGAUUUGCCUCCGUUCUCGUUCUCUUAAACAAAUUACGAUACAUAGAAAUCCAUCGUAAUGUCAUGAGUGUCGCAUUUAACUGUAACUGCCAGCUGUAUUCGAUCGAUCAUAUGUUUCAGACGCGUAAACACGUAAUUUGUACGUGUCUUGAAUAUUAAUCAGAUCAUUAACGAAGCACGUUUCGACAGAUUUCUUUCGAAUCUGAACGCUGUAACCUUUGAUCUUGUACUUCUUUUUUGCUAUUCGUAAGAAGUUUCAUUUGCGUCAGAACUUCUUGUCAGAGCGCGAAACUUUUAUCGCGUUCAGCUUGUUGAAUACGAUCAACGUACAUACAGCUUCGAACAAAUCGUUUAAUUACCGUGUUAUUCAGUCAUAGUAAACGUUAAUUAUAACAAUUAUUUCGUACGAUUGGACUGAUAUUAUUAAUCAAAUUACAAGCAGAGUAACGUACGACGCGAAGAUUUUGCGACGAGUCAGCCGAUCGUCACGUUCGACGAAACAAUUGUAAAAUUGGAAGAAUUGUUUUUGAAACGGCAAUCUACAACUUGUCGAUUUGUCGUUCGUGAAUCCGUCGAUGUUAUUAAUUACCGAACUAUUGUGCAAGAGAUUCCAGGUAUUCGCACGAGAAACUAACUCGUACUUUGUAAAAUUCGCAAAGUAUGACGGUGGUCUUGCCCGCAUAAUUAGGGUGCACGACUUGCACACGAGCUGCAAGGUUUAUGUACGAUCAUGCGGGACAAUGAUCUUUCACUCUUGGAUCACGUUGCACAACAGCUCGAGACGAGGGAGCGGUCUCUCUCAUAGGCCUCCGAAAAGACCUCCAGCGAGAUGACUCUAAUAUUUGCCGAAGGAUAUACGUACAGCUGUUACGACAGGAUCGAUUUUAUCGCGAAUUUCAAACGAAACAAGGAAUCACGUACGUAUCACGAUUAUCCUUUCGUACGAAGCAUUCUAUGUUUUCUUUUUUUUUUUUUUGCAUUCUUAAUCGAAUCAUCAGAAAAAUUCAGGAGUCCAGAUCUAGAAACUAGUUUAUGUAAGUUUCUACGUAACGGAUCUGGACGUGCGUAAGACGUUUGCUUUACCAGACGCAUAACGAUAAACGUGUCACAAAUCAUAAACUGUUGCAGUUAGCUAAUUAUUCUGUCGUAAAGGAAGCGUUGUUUUUUACGCAAACGAAAAGAACUGAAAAUUGGUAGUAAUUAAUUUCGACCAUUGUGCUGUAUUUCUUUCAAAAUGUCCACGCAACAAAGUUGCACAAUUCGAGGAGGCACAACGAAUUCUACGUAAAAUUAUCGUCCUCCAUGAAUGUUCGUUAAAUUUCUAUGUUUCACUCGAGGCGUUGCUUAAACCUUAGUCAAUUCUACCGUCUUGGAUAGAAGCGUGCUUAUUAAUUUGCGGUCACGCAUCGCAUGACAGUUCUAUGAUAUCGUUAAGAAAUGGCUUUAAGGGAUUAUCAACGUGUUCUCGCAACGUACGUCGGACAUCGCAUGGCGCAGGUAGGUGAACGAUAUACGAGGUAUCUAAAACGUAACAAACGAUAGCUCGUGACGAUGGUCUGCUGUUCGCUAAGGAGUGUACGCCUCGAAUUACGCAAGUGAAAUAUCGCUUAUCUGAUGCACGCGUGAUGACGUUACCUGGGUUAGUUGUUGCAGGUGUUACGCGUUAUGUGUCUCUUUUCGUUUCAUCUGACGUGACAGUGUGUAAACAUUUCUUAUACUCCGGAUGGCGAAUAACGCCAUUUCAUUUUUUUUACAGCUGUAUGUACAUUCAGCGUAAAGUACAAUAUUGCCUUGCGGUCUGACUGCGAAUGGGCAUAGACUUAUUAGGCAUUUUCUAUCUGAAAUGGCACUCCAAAUCAACUCACGAAGUUCUAUUUGUUCAUACGAAACUAUAACAUUUUGUUUGAAUACGCUUUAACAACAGUGAAAAAAUUAUAGUUUUUGAUAUAUUAUUUAUAUAAACGAAUUUUUCUAUAGUCUUUCUAUACGGUAAUAUCAAUUUUUCAAAAAACGCAAAAUUCCUUCGUUGACGUAAUUCUUUUAUCUCUAAUAUUUCUCGAGAUAUUUUAAAACGUACGUCUUCGACCCUAAAAUUUGAGUGCUGUUCUCACGUUCGAGAUGCGAGGCAAGAAAAAAUACGUGACGAAUAUUUUUGGUCAGACUAUGAGUCUGUAGAGUUUGAUCAAGAUCGGUUUACUACGGUUGCGACGUUUCUCGCGAGACCGACGAAUUUAAAAAAUCUUCCAGCGAAAUUGUAUUUUCUGGAGGUAUUCGCGUAAUUUUUGAGAAAAUGCAGAUCGUGUUAAAAUCACGAACGGCUAUGUAAAAGCAUGCAGAUCCGCUGAAAACGUGAAAAUGAUUUCAGCAUAGGGCAUUAAUCAUAAGUAGGCACUUACUUUGUCCAUAACAGGGUACUCGCACGCGUAUCGUCGCGAUGGAAGAUUAAUAAGUGGCGUUUUUCUCAACAUUUGUCGUCAAUGACGAUUCAUUAUCAAGCAGAACCAAUCGAAUUUAACCGUUUCGUCUCGGAUUUUUACCAUGCGCCUCGAGUUGUCUCACUAAUUGCACGACUCGUAAAACUCGAAGCAAAUGUGCGAAGCUGCGUCGAGAUCGUAUCCCGUGGAAUCAUCCUCGACAUUUUUCAUUCUACGCUUCGCAACGUGAUUAUGCAAUGUUAACGUCUUCUUCUUUGACAACUCCUCGUUCGUUUGCGACAAAUGGCGCAUAAUGCAGGGCGGUAAACGUAUGAUUUGCAUUCAAAUUAUCGCCGACACCUUCGACGUUCGUGCUUUAUUUUUUUCUUCCUUUUCGCUUGUUCUUUUUCGGACCUUUCUUAUUGUCAAACGCGUCACGUAAAAAGAAAAAAAAAAGGAAUUUAUUUAAAUUUACGUAUGUAAAUGCGCAAGAAGGAAAAGAACGAUAGCUACACUACGCCCUACGUAUCGAAAAUCCUCGCUUCGUCUCUUUCAGUCAGCGUGACUCACUGUACCCAUUCCACGUCCCACAAUGUGAGAAUCGUGAUAAUUGCCAACGUCGAAAUACCGCGUUCCCUUUCGAUUCGCUAAGCCGAAGGACUAAUUGACAAACCAAAGUCAGGCAAAAAAUCGAAGAAAGCGAAAAACAAACAGAAAGAUCAGCACCGCCCGAGCAGAGGAAGAUCGAACGCAAAAGUACACCCAACCGAAAAUGAAAUUAUGUAAAUAACAAUUACGAAACCGAAGGAAUGUACCGACUAAAUAUGUAUAACGCGUCGGGCAACGAUAACGAACGAAUGAAAAUAGCUGUGACAGUGAAGGUGGUAAGUCUGACCCAUGAGUUCAUCAUAUUGAUAUGUUUAUUUGCGUACUUUUCUUUCGUGUAAUACCGAUGUAAUGUAGAGCGAACUGUAAUGGCUUACGUGCUUGCGAAUUUCUUUUUUAGCAUCAUGCGAACAGCCGAAUGCGCAGUCGAAACGCUGCUACAAUCUUGUAAUUUAUGUGGUAAAUAAACAUUCUUUUAUAACAAAAAGACGUGGUAGACUGAUAGAUUCUCGAAUUACUCUAUCACGAAUUCAGAUCUUUCACGAUCAAUAAAUUCUUUUUUUUCUCCCUUUUGUAACUUGUUUUCCGCGGAUGUGCUUAUAUAUUCAUGUUCUUUUAUUUUGUAAUAUCUUCCUUCAGCUUUUUGUUAGUCUUUUUCCUUCUUUUUAAAUUUACUGCCAUUGCGUUACAUUAUAUAAAUACAAUAUACAGGAUGAUUCAGACACAAGUAUUUUCAACAAAAUAUUAUCACAUUAUCCGGCGGACAUACUUGGUGAACGUUAAAAAAAAAUUGACCUAUCGAAUAUUAAUUUUAUCGCGUACCAAGAAUAUCUUCUUUAAAAAAACGUAUCUUCGUUGCAUCUUCUCUGAUUCAGAAUUCGCCGCUGGUUUGUGAAACUUUGGUUGACUUUUCUGAAUUUGACAAUAGGGAAUACAACGUGGCGGAAUAAUUUCUACGGUUGAUGUACGAUCUCCAUCGUCGUGUAUAAAAAUGCUAUUAAAGCGAGCAACGUCCACCCCGUGAACUCAGAAUUAAUAGGAAUUGUAUCGUGUCCACAAUAUGGACUGAUCGCUUUUAAUAUCUUGCCAAAUAAUAAAUAUUGACGAAAAUGGCAAAAUAUGAUUCAUCGAUUAUGAAAAAUGUUAUCAAAAUCGAUGACCCAACGGCUGUGACCUUUCCUUGCGAGAUAACACGCGACGAAGUAAAAUACAUAGAGGAACGACACAGAGGAUUAUAAAUAGGCGUAUCUGCAGCGUGCAGGCUGUCGGAAAAUAAAGUAUUAAAAGAGACAGAACAAGAGCCACAUUAGUCCGAUCGGAGGUUCGAGGCGAGUCAGCGGUCUCGAGUAGGUUGUCGGAGCCUUCAGGGCAGAAUUGCACCAUCCAGAGAGUUAGAUCCCCUUGGGCGAAUCAGCGGCCUUAUUUACCCUUCUACCAACGUGCCGGCGGCUUUCUGAGAUCAACCAACGUCACGUGUAAAACGGAAUACACGCGUGUGCAUACGUAACGCGUAUGCGUAAAAGGCGUUGCACACGCGCCAGACUCUGCGUAUAAAAAUAUUUUUGCCUUUUUGUACCGCCUAACCGUUAGCUCGGUUGUAUGACAUUUUUAUACCACCUGGAGAAACUUACAUCGGGUUAGAAGGAAAUUGGACGCGUACUUGUGCCUGUUAAUCUAAUAACAAAUAGUGAUUUCUUCGUGUCGAUAUACAGUGGCUACAAGAAAUAUUCGUACACCAUUGUGUUUGUCAUAACGCGUGUACAUAUUAAUUAAUUAGAUUCAGAUAUUUAUACGAGUGCACAUUGCCGACAAUGAGAGAAUAGGCAAUAAAGGACAUACAUAGGUAAUGCGUGUUAAUGUUUCAAAUUUAUAUGAAUUAUAUUUAUACGCGGCAAAGUCGUGAAUAUAAUUGUGAUAAAUGAUCGCAGAAUGGAAACUGAUUGGUCGAGGUAUAAAAUGUUCCACGAUGUAAUUUAAUAUAAUUUAACUUCAUUAAAAAGUUGCCACACUCUUUACGUUUAUAAAUUUUUAAAAAUGAGUAUUUGAAGUGUAUAUCACUUUUUCUUUCGCAUAAUGGAAAAACGAAGCAAAAACGAAUGUACGAGAUUGUAUAUAUUAAAGUACCCUUAAAGUGUU
Long non-coding RNA from Bombus huntii, 5321 nucleotides. RefSeq lists it as uncharacterized. The transcript has 2 exons. The record is from RefSeq and is a predicted model, not a curated record. Lineage: Eukaryota; Metazoa; Arthropoda; Insecta; Hymenoptera; Apidae.